Thalassophryne amazonica is the source of this 97-nucleotide long non-coding RNA. RefSeq lists it as uncharacterized. The transcript has 4 exons. The record is from RefSeq and is a predicted model, not a curated record. NCBI's taxonomy places the organism in Eukaryota, Metazoa, Chordata, Actinopteri, Batrachoidiformes, Batrachoididae.
AAAGUGUUACAUGGUACUUCAUAAAAACAUAUACACACACAGAAAGACAGAGUGGGUUGUUUCAGGCAGGAAUGUCCAGGUUGUCCUCUCCUCUGGG